Molecule: ribosomal RNA, 301 nt
Filed under: uncultured bacterium
Lineage: Bacteria
Description: partial 16S ribosomal RNA
Rfam family: Bacterial small subunit ribosomal RNA
Source: RNAcentral
CAGUCGCCACGGUAACACCGAGGGUGCAAGCGUUAAUCGGAAUUACUGGGCGUAAAGCGCGCGUAGGUGGUUUGUUAAGUUGGAUGUGAAAUCCCCGGGCUCAACCUGGGAACUGCAUCCAAAACUGGCAAGCUAGAGUAUGGUAGAGGGUGGUGGAAUUUCCUGUGUAGCGGUGAAAUGCGUAGAUAUAGGAAGGAACACCAGUGGCGAAGGCGACCACCUGGACUGAUACUGACACUGAGGUGCGAAAGCGUGGGGAGCAAACAGGAUUAGAUACCCCUGUAGUCCCUGUCUCUUAUAA